AACGCUGGCGGCGUGCCUAAUACAUGCAAGUCGAGCGAACGGACGAGCAGCUUGCUUCUCUGAUGUUAGCGGCGGACGGGUGAGUAACACGUGGAUAACCUACCUAUAAGACUGGGAUAACUUCGGGAAACCGGAGCUAAUACCGGAUAAUAUUUUGAACCGCAUGGUUCAAAAGUGAAAGACGGUCUUGCUGUCACUUAUAGAUGGAUCCGCGCUGCAUUAGCUAGUUGGUAAGGUAACGGCUUACCAAGGCAACGAUGCAUAGCCGACCUGAGAGGGUGAUCGGCCACACUGGAACUGAGACACGGUCCAGACUCCUACGGGAGGCAGCAGUAGGGAAUCCUCCGCAAUGGGCGAAAGCCUGACGGAGCAACGCCGCGUGAGUGAUGAAGGUCUUCGGAUCGUAAAACUCUGUUAUUAGGGAAGAACAUAUGUGUAAGUAACUGUGCACAUCUUGACGGUACCUAAUCAGAAAGCCACGGCUAACUACGUG
Molecule: ribosomal RNA, 493 nt
Filed under: uncultured bacterium
Lineage: Bacteria
Description: partial 16S ribosomal RNA
Rfam family: Bacterial small subunit ribosomal RNA
Source: RNAcentral